UACAGAGGUCUCAAGCGUUGUUCGGAUUCAUUGGGCGUAAAGGGUGCGUAGGCGGCGCGGUAAGUCGGGUGUGAAAUCUCGGAGCUUAACUCCGAAACUGCAUUCGAUACUGCCGUGCUUGAGGACUGGAGAGGAGACUGGAAUUUACGGUGUAGCGGUGAAAUGCGUAGAUAUCGUAAGGAACACCGGUGGCGAAGGCGGGUCUCUGGGCCAUUACUGACGCUGAGGAGCGAAAGCGUGGGGAGCGAACAGG
Molecule: ribosomal RNA, 253 nt
Filed under: uncultured bacterium
Lineage: Bacteria
Description: partial 16S ribosomal RNA
Rfam family: Bacterial small subunit ribosomal RNA
Source: RNAcentral